AGCGAACGCUGGCGGCAGGCCUAACACAUGCAAGUCGAACGAACCUUUCGGGGUUAGUGGCGGACGGGUGAGUAACACGUGGGAACGUGCCUUUAGGUUCGGUAUAACUCAGGGAAACUUGUGCUAAUACCGAAUGUGCCCUUCGGGGGAAAGAUUUACCGCCUUUAGAGCGGCCCGCGUCUGAUUAGCUAGUUGGUUGAGGUAAUGGCCCACCAAGGCGACGAUCAGUAGCUGGUCUGAGAGGAGGAUCAGCCACAUUGGGACUGAGACACGGCCCAAACUCCUACGGGAGGCAGCAGUGGGGAAUCUUGCGCAAUGGGCGAGAGCCUGACGCAGCCAUGCCGCGUGAGUGAUGAAGGUCUUAGGAUUGUAAAAUUCUUUCACCGGGGACGAUAAUGACGGUACCCGGAGAAGAAGCCCCGGCUAACUUCGUG
This 434-nucleotide ribosomal RNA is filed under the name uncultured bacterium. Its description in RNAcentral is "partial 16S ribosomal RNA". It matches the Rfam family "Bacterial small subunit ribosomal RNA", at positions 29 to 507 of the family's 1533-position model. The record is from RNAcentral.